This 74-nucleotide transfer RNA is filed under the name Sericomyrmex n. sp. TS-1997. RNAcentral's name for it is "tRNA-Leu". The record is from RNAcentral. Lineage: Eukaryota; Metazoa; Arthropoda; Insecta; Hymenoptera; Formicidae.
UUUAAUAUGGCAGAUUUAGUGCAAUGGAUUUAAAUUCCAUAUAUAAAGAAAAUCUAAUUAAUCUUUUAUUAAAA